Molecule: ribosomal RNA, 253 nt
Filed under: uncultured bacterium
Lineage: Bacteria
Description: partial 16S ribosomal RNA
Rfam family: Archaeal small subunit ribosomal RNA
Source: RNAcentral
UACCAGCACCCCGAGUGGUCGGGACGAUUAUUGGGCCUAAAGCAUCCGUAGCCGGCCUUACAAGUCCUCCGUUAAAUCCAACUGCUUAACAGAUGGGCUGCGGAGGAUACUAUAAGACUAGGAGGCAGGAGAGGCAAGCGGUACUCAGUGGGUAGGGGUAAAAUCCGUUGAUCCAUUGAAGACCACCAGUGGCGAAGGCGGCUUGCCAGAACGCGCUCGACGGUGAGGGAUGAAAGCUGGGGGAGCAAACCGG